Molecule: long non-coding RNA, 1876 nt
Organism: Papaver somniferum (opium poppy)
Lineage: Eukaryota; Viridiplantae; Streptophyta; Magnoliopsida; Ranunculales; Papaveraceae
Exons: 7
Source: RefSeq, a predicted model, not a curated record
AACGAGAAAAUGAAAACGAUUCAAUGAACGGAAGCUGAGAGCUAGGGUGAAGGAAAUGAAGGAGGGUAUCUGAGAUCGGUUCUUCUACUGCAGAAAUUCUGGGAGGGUCCUUUUUGCUUAAGUUUUAGACAGUGUAUUGUGCAGAACACAAGAUGGCUUCUACAUCAACUAGUGAUCAUAUAGAUGAUGUUCGUACAUGUCACCGAUUAUUGAGGAUUAUUUUGUUGAAUUGAAGUCACAAAUGGGCUACAAACCACUUUGGAGAAGUAAAAGUGGAUAGAAAUAGACAAUGCUAUCUUUACUAAGUUUGGUAAGAGAUACAUUGUUCCGAAGUUGGAAACUUGAUUCCAUUGUUUGUGUAAGUUUCAUAAGGAAUUUGAGAGGCUAAUGUCGUCUCAUCCCGAUAUUGGAAUCAAGUAGAAUAAGGUGGCUUGGGAGUUAGGAGCCUGUAAUGAAUUUGUUUUUAGAAUGUGAAUUUUUUGUUCAGCGUUUGUGGAUUUUUGAAGUAGCCAUUAGCUAGAUAGUUUAUGAUCAUGUUUUAUUUGGCUUGUUUUUGAUCAAUUUAUGAUCGUGUCUUCUAGGAAUGUGUUUACCAAUACUGCAGAAACUUGUUCGCAGGGUGAGUGAAUCAUUUUUUGCUUUUGAUCAGUUUAUGCUUUUGGUCCAUGAUGCGUACAUGGAUCUCAAUCUUUGUCUUGUUGUACAUGUAAAUAGAGCUUAUAGUUGUUUCCAUUCUAAUUUUGUGGUUUACUGGGCAUUCUUUGAUUUGAUCACAAAUUACAGAGGUUAGCUUGCUCCUGAUGUGGAGAUGGUUAGUUAACAGAUUAUCAAUUCUAGUACUUGGCUUAUUUGUAUGAUUUCUAUUUUAGGGAGCAUUGGCCGCAUCAAAAUUUCAUCUGCCUAUCUAGAUUAAGUGCACUGCCAUAAAUUGAAUAUAUUGAUCCUGCAAGAAGCACGUUCAGUUCCAUAACUGGCCUCAUCUGGUCGAUUGACGAUGCUUGGUUUUGAUGCGAUGAGCACCAUCCACGAAGCAAGUGAACAAGAUCCUUCAACAGAUACUUUGGCUGGAUAUAUCUGCUGAUACUGUGGUGGGUGGUGCCAUCAUGUCUAGGGAUUUCUCGGGUGGACAAAAGAAGCGUAUGCAACAGCCAACAGGAGAAAUUUUGGUGGGGCUAGAAAAUGCUCUCUUCGUGAUUUCCUUUUCUCUAAUACAGCGUCUACCCGGAGUUGAUCCUGUCACUGGUCAAUCCACAGUCGGAAAGGCCCUUCUCAAGUCCAAAGGCUUGUUUCGGAUUUGUGUUGGGCACUGUUUGCGUUUUCUGAUCUCUUCAACGUUCUUUUCAUGCUGGCAUUCAUUUAAGCCCUUUUGGUAUGUCUAAAGUGUUGAUUGGGAAUGAGGAUGAUGAUGACAGUAAGAAGUCAAAGAACAUCCGAUUGCAGGAGAUUACUGGUUAAAAUGUAACAGAACCAAAAAGAGGAAUAGUUCUACCUUUGCAGCCUCUUUUGGCCAUGUGAAUUACUAUGUCGAUAUGCCUGCUGAAUCGAAGUCCCAAGGAAUCCAAGAAACUCAGUCUCCAGUUUAAAGAUGUUAGCAGGGCUUUCAGGCCAGGUGUAUUGACAGCACUAGUUGGUGUUAGUUCUAGCUGGAGAAAUUAUCGUGAUAAAUGUUCUAGCUGGUAGAAAACUGGAGGGUACAUUGAAGGAACAUUGGAACAGUUACAUAUCUGGAUAACCAUACCAAGUAGCAUUUGCUCUUGUUAGUGAUUACUGUGAAUAAAAUGAUUGUUCAUUUACAUAGUUUCGUCCAGCUGCACCUAGUCUACGAUAUGGGUGCAGGCAAAAAAGCUGAUAUGGGAGAGUUUAGACUUUUUUGUGA